ACGAACGCUGGCGGCGUGCUUAACACCUGCAAGUCGCACGGAAAGGCCCUGCUUUUGUGGGGUGCUCGAGUGGCGAACGGGUGAGUAACACGUGAGUAACCUGCCCUUGACUUUGGGAUAACUUCAGGAAACUGGGGCUAAUACCGGAUAGGAGCUCCUGCUGCAUGGUGGGGGUUGGAAAGUUUCGGCGGUUGGGGAUGGACUCGCGGCUUAUCAGCUUGUUGGUGGGGUAGUGGCUUACCAAGGCUUUGACGGGUAGCCGGCCUGGGAGGGUGACCGGCCACAUUGGGACUGAGAUACGGCCCAGACUCCUACGGGAGGCAGCAGUGGGGAAUAUUGCACAAUGGGCGGAAGCCUGAUGCAGCAACGCCGCGUGCGGGAUGACGGCCUUCGGGUUGUAAACCGCUUUCGCCUGUGACGAAGCGUGAGUGACGGUAAUGGGUAAAGAAGCACCGGCUAACUACGUG
Molecule: ribosomal RNA, 467 nt
Filed under: uncultured bacterium
Lineage: Bacteria
Description: partial 16S ribosomal RNA
Rfam family: Bacterial small subunit ribosomal RNA
Source: RNAcentral